CGCCCCCCCGUGUCUCGGCUUCAAGUGGAGGGAGUCCGCGCGCCCGAGUCUUCCUCUCCCCAUUUUUCCCCCUCCUCGCUUCUGCUCCCAUCCGUGAAAGCGCAGAGAAAACCGCCGCCGGAGAAUCUUCGUCCGCCGCGUGAAGCCUCCAUCCUGAGCCGUUUUCGCUCCGAUUUAGCGCCGUGGUGAGCUUCCUCUCCCUUCCCGCUCCCUCCCCCGUCCUGUUGCCGAGUGAAUCGUGGCCCGGAGUCCCUGUUCCGCGAGCUCCGACGGGACGUUCAUGGCGCCGCCGUGAACCUUCUCGGAAACCGCCUCCUCGACCGCGUUUUUGGGGUGGAAUGGACUCGCAUCGCUCUCCUCUUUCUCCCAGUUCAAACGGAAUUGAAAACCGUUCACCGUUGCACCUCCUCCGCUCAACUCCGGCGAGCUUCAAGGGCCGGCCAUGGUGGCCACCGUGUUCUGGCCGGAGGUGGACUGUGCGCCGUCACCUUCCUCUCUCUCUCUCUUUUUUAUUUUUUUCUUUUAAUCCAGCGCGUUCAUCUUGAAAGGAUCAAGAUGCCCAAGAGGGGGGUGAAUUGGGCUUCUCUAAAAAUUUAAGCAACCUAUAAGCUCCAAUUCAACCCCUUGUGCCUAGUGUGACUAAGAGAGCUACCGGAUAAAAAGUUUUGCAACCUAGUUCCAAUCCUAUUCUAGCAAGGC
Molecule: long non-coding RNA, 699 nt
Filed under: Sorghum bicolor (sorghum)
Lineage: Eukaryota; Viridiplantae; Streptophyta; Magnoliopsida; Poales; Poaceae
Description: long non-coding RNA (SBIC_LNC001941)
Source: RNAcentral